CCUACGGGAGGCAGCAGUGAGGAAUAUUGGUCAAUGGACGAGAGUCUGAACCAGCCAAGUAGCGUGAAGGAUGACUGCCCUAUGGGUUGUAAACAUCUUUUAUAUGGGAAUAAAACAGGGUAUGCAUACCUUCUCGUAUGUACCAUAUGAAUAAGGAUAGGCUAACUCAGUGCCAGCAGCCGCGGUAAUACGGAGGAGCCGAGCGUUAUCCGGAUUUAUGGGGUUUAGAGGGAGCGUAGGUGGAUUGUUAAGUCAGUUGUGAAAGUGUGCGGCUCAACCGUAAAAUUGCAGUUGAAACUGGCAGGCUGGAGUACAGUAGAGGUGGGCAGAAUUCGUGGUGUAGCGGUGAAAUGCUUAGAUAUCACGAAGAACUCCGAUUGCGAAGGCAGCUCACUGGACUGCAACUGACACUGAGGCUCGAAAGUGUGGGGAUCAAACAGGAUUAGAUACCCCUGUAGUC
RNAcentral lists this ribosomal RNA (460 nucleotides) under uncultured bacterium. RNAcentral describes it as "partial 16S ribosomal RNA". It matches the Rfam family "Bacterial small subunit ribosomal RNA", at positions 338 to 795 of the family's 1533-position model. The record is from RNAcentral.